UACAGAGGGGGCAAGCGUUAUUCGGAAUUAUUGGGCGUAAAGGGCGCGUAGGCGGCCAAGCAAGUCAGGGGUGAAAUCCCUCGGCUCAACCGAGGAAUGGCCUCUGAAACUGCAUGGCUUGAGACCGGGAGAGGGUGGUGGAAUUCCCAGUGUAGCGGUGAAAUGCGUAGAUAUUGGGAGGAACACCGGUGGCGAAGGCGGCCACCUGGACCGGUUCUGACGCUGAGGCGCGAAAGUGUGGGGAGCAAACAGG
Molecule: ribosomal RNA, 253 nt
Filed under: uncultured bacterium
Lineage: Bacteria
Description: partial 16S ribosomal RNA
Rfam family: Bacterial small subunit ribosomal RNA
Source: RNAcentral